UACCGGAUAAGCCCUUACGGGGAAAGAUUUAUCGCCGAAAGAUCGGCCCGCGUCUGAUUAGCUAGUUGGUGAGGUAACGGCUCAUCAAGGCGACGAUCAGUAGCUGGUCUGAGAGGAUGAUCAGCCACAUUGGGACUGAGACACGGCCCAAACUCCUACGGGAGGCAGCAGUGGGGAAUAUUGGACAAUGGGCGCAAGCCUGAUCCAGCCAUGCCGCGUGAGUGAUGAAGGCCCUAGGGUUGUAAAGCUCUUUUGUGCGGGAAGAUAAUGACGGUACCGCGAGAAUAAGCCCCGGCUAACUUCGUGCCAGCAGCCGCGGUAAUACGAAGGGGGCUAGCGUUGCUCGGAAUCACUGGGCGUAAAGGGUGCGUAGGCGGGUCUUUAAGUCAGGGGUGAAAUCCUGGAGCUCAACUCCAGAACUGCCUUUGAUACUGAGGAUCUUGAGUUCGGGAGAGGUGAGUGGAGCUGCGAGUGUAGAGGUGAAAUUCGUAGAUAUUCGCAAGAACACCAGUGGCGAAGGCGGCUCACUGGCCCGAUACUGACGCUGAGGCACGAAAGCGUGGGGAGCAAACAGGAUUAGAUACCCUGGUAGUCCACGCC
Molecule: ribosomal RNA, 600 nt
Filed under: uncultured bacterium
Lineage: Bacteria
Description: bacterial SSU rRNA
Rfam family: Bacterial small subunit ribosomal RNA
Source: RNAcentral